GAUGAACGCUGGCGGCGUGCCUAAUACAUGCAAGUCGAGCGAACGGACGAGAAGCUUGCUCUUCUGAUGUUAGCGGCGGACGGGUGAGUAACACGUGGAUAACCUACCUAUAAGACUGGGAUAACUUCGGGAAACCGGAGCUAAUACCGGAUAAUAUUUUGAACCGCAUGGUUCAAUAGUGAAAGACGGUCUUGCUGUCACUUAUAGAUGGAUCCGCGCUGCAUUAGCUAGUUGGUAAGGUAACGGCUUACCAAGGCAACGAUGCGUAGCCGACCUGAGAGGGUGAUCGGCCACACUGGAACUGAGACACGGUCCAGACUCCUACGGGAGGAAGCAGUAGGGAAUCUUCCGCAAUGGGCGAAAGCCUGACGGAGCAACGCCGCGUGAGUGAUGAAGGUCUUCGGAUCGUAAAACUCUGUUAUUAGGGAAGAACAAAUGUGUAAGUAACUAUGCACAUCUUGACGGUACCUAAUCAGAAAGCCACGGCUAACUACGUG
This 497-nucleotide ribosomal RNA is filed under the name uncultured bacterium. RNAcentral's name for it is "partial 16S ribosomal RNA". It matches the Rfam family "Bacterial small subunit ribosomal RNA", at positions 28 to 507 of the family's 1533-position model. The record is from RNAcentral.